UUUCAACCCUCAAGCCCCAGCCGGCUUGGUGUUGGGGACCGGCCCCGGCCGCCCCCCAAAUGCAGUGGCGACCUCGCCGCAGCCUCCCCUGCGUAGUAGCACAACCUCGCACCGGAGCGCGGAGACGGUCACGCCGUAAAAUCGCCCAACUUCUCAGAGUUGACCUCGGAUCAGGUAGGAAUACCCUGUGAACUUAA
RNAcentral lists this ribosomal RNA (197 nucleotides) under Tolypocladium tundrense. The record is from RNAcentral. Lineage: Eukaryota; Fungi; Ascomycota; Sordariomycetes; Hypocreales; Ophiocordycipitaceae.